CUGAUUUCUACCUGGGAGAUCAUGCAUGAGCCGUGAUUUAGAAUCUGCUACUCUUCUGUUCUAUAAUUGACCUCGUUCUCUCAUCUCCCUCAGGCUUAAAUCCUUCUGGAGUCACUAAGGUUGUCAGUGUGGGGAGAAGCAGCAGCUGGUUUCAAGCUUCACACGUUCCUCCUAUGAGAGAAGACAUGGGUGUACAUUAGAGUGGAGACAAGUAUGUUCACUAAAAGUCCAAAACAUGGUAGCAAUUCUAUCAGAAAAAAAGGAAAAGAGUCUUUCUAUAACACUGUCUUCAACCAAAUUAUGAGCUGGAGAAACAGCAAGACAGAAUAAGACGUUUAUUCCCUGGAUCUUCUUUAAUAGUUCCCUGAAUACUCUUAAUUAUGCCAAUAUGAGGUAAGUCGAUACAUGUCUUUGAGGAAAGGAAAUUUACAAAGAUCAUUCUUCCUGGUAGCCCCCAAUAUGCCAAACUAAACUUAU
This 477-nucleotide long non-coding RNA is filed under the name Vulpes vulpes (red fox). RNAcentral describes it as "lncRNA (ENSVVUG00000016807.1)". The record is from RNAcentral. Lineage: Eukaryota; Metazoa; Chordata; Mammalia; Carnivora; Canidae.